This 315-nucleotide ribosomal RNA is filed under the name uncultured eukaryote. RNAcentral's name for it is "partial 18S ribosomal RNA". It matches the Rfam family "Eukaryotic small subunit ribosomal RNA", at positions 1470 to 1796 of the family's 1831-position model. The record is from RNAcentral.
CCCUUAGAUGUUCUGGGCUGCACGCGCGCUACACUGACGCACGCAACAGGUGCCUGCUCCGAGAGGACUGGGUAAUCAUUUGAGUGUGCGUCGUGAUGGGGAUAGAAUAUUGUAAUUAUUACUCUUCAACGAGGAAUUCCUAGUAAGCGCCAGUCAGCAGCUUGCGCUGAUUACGUCCCUGCCCUUUGUACACACCGCCCGUCGCUCCUACCGAUGGGUGAUCCGGUGAAUGAUUCGGACUUCAGCGACUCCCCUGGGGUGCGCCGGAGAAAGUUUUGUGAACCUUAUCACUUGGAGGAAGGAGAAGUCGUAACA